CAGUCGCCGCGGGAAUACAGAGGGUGCGAGCGUUAAUCGGAUUUACUGGGCGUAAAGCGUGCGUAGGCGGCUUCUUAAGUCGGAUGUGAAAUCCCUGAGCUUAACUUAGGAAUUGCAUUCGAUACUGGGAAGCUAGAGUAUGGGAGAGGAUGGUAGAAUUCCAGGUGUAGCGGUGAAAUGCGUAGAGAUCUGGAGGAAUACCGAUGGCGAAGGCAGCCAUCUGGCCUAAUACUGACGCUGAGGUACAAAAGCAUGGGGAGCAAACAGGAUUAGAUACCCGCGUAGUCCCUGUCUCUUAUAC
This 301-nucleotide ribosomal RNA is filed under the name uncultured bacterium. RNAcentral's name for it is "partial 16S ribosomal RNA". It matches the Rfam family "Bacterial small subunit ribosomal RNA", at positions 509 to 807 of the family's 1533-position model. The record is from RNAcentral.